RNAcentral lists this long non-coding RNA (427 nucleotides) under Bos taurus (domestic cattle). RNAcentral's name for it is "long non-coding RNA NONBTAT006244". The record is from RNAcentral. Lineage: Eukaryota; Metazoa; Chordata; Mammalia; Artiodactyla; Bovidae.
CUUGAACUUUAGGAAUCACUGAAAACUCAUGUGCACUUAGAUUUAGUUAAUUUUAAAUAUGUUACAUUAUUAAAAGAUGUAAAGAUGUUUACCUAAGUCACUGCUCAAGAAGGGGCAAUUACCGACUUUGUAAUAAUAAAAAGAAUAUUUCUCUGUAAUACGUUGUUGAAUAACAACCAGAAUACCAAGCAAGUGUGUACAUAGGAACAUGCUACUUCCCUCUUGCCCGCAUUCCCUCUGUGAGGCACUGUCUGCUGUAGAGCUCUACAGAAUUAGACCUUCAGAUUUAGACAGCAUGGACUCUCUUCCUUGGUUUUCAGUUUUUUAAGAUAAAUUUUUAAAAACAAAUUUUAUGGCAGUUCUCUUAAGGAAUUUAAAUUCCUCCUUUUUAGCCAGCAGGGAAAUAAGACUUUUUUUUUUAAUCCCU